Molecule: long non-coding RNA, 303 nt
Filed under: Nicotiana benthamiana
Lineage: Eukaryota; Viridiplantae; Streptophyta; Magnoliopsida; Solanales; Solanaceae
Description: long non-coding RNA (NBEN_LNC013101)
Source: RNAcentral
GGUAGUAUGUUGCUGUUUAAGGCAAGAGCUCAUUGAUUUUCCUGCUCCAAUCAGGAGGAAGAUUGCUAUCCCUAGCUGAUGAAUCAUAUAAUUAUUGUUUACUUGAGCGAUGAAUCAUGAACAUCACAAGGUUCAUGUUGCUUUGUGACGAAACUUACAUAUAAUGAGCGGCAGAAUAAAACACAAACAAGAAGAGAACAUACUAGAUUGUUGCUUUGUGAUGAAACUUACAUAUAAUGAGCGGCAGAAUAAAACACAAACAAGAAGAGAACAUACUAGAUCAAUCAAGAAGGUGUCAAAAAU